UCCCGCUAUUGGAUGAGCCUAUGUCGGAUUAGCUAGUUGGUGAGGUAAUGGCUCACCAAGGCAACGAUCCGUAGCUGGUCUGAGAGGAUGAUCAGCCACAUCGGGACUGAGACACGGCCCGAACUCCUACGGGAGGCAGCAGUGGGGAAUAUUGGACAAUGGGGGCAACCCUGAUCCAGCCAUGCCGCGUGUGUGAAGAAGGCCCUCGGGUUGUAAAGCACUUUCAGCGAGGAAGAACGCCUAUUGGUUAAUACCCGUUAGGAAAGACAUCACUCGCAGAAGAAGCACCGGCUAACUCCGUGCCAGCAGCCGCGGUAAUACGGAGGGUGCAAGCGUUAAUCGGAAUUACUGGGCGUAAAGCGCGCGUAGGUGGCUUGAUAAGCCGGUUGUGAAAGCCCCGGGCUCAACCUGGGAACGGCAUCCGGAACUGUCACGCUAGAGUGCAGGAGAGGAAGGUAGAAUUCCCGGUGUAGCGGUGAAAUGCGUAGAGAUCGGGAGGAAUACCAGUGGCGAAGGCGGCCUUCUGGACUGACACUGACACUGAGGUGCGAAAGCGUGGGUAGCAAACAGGAUUAGAUACCCUGGUAGUCCACGCCGUAAACGAUGUCGACCAGCCGUUGGGUGCCUAGAGAACUUUGUGGCGAAGUUAACGCGAUAAGUCGACCGCCUGGGGAGUACGGCCGCAAGGUUAAAACUCAAAUGAAUUGACGGGGGCCCGCACAAGCGGUGGAGCAUGUGGUUUAAUUCGAUGCAACGCGAAGAACCUUACCUACCCUUGACAUCUACAGAAGCCGGAAGAGAUUCUGGUGUGCCUUCGGGAACUGUAAGACAGGUGCUGCAUGGCUGUCGUCAGCUCGUGUUGUGAAAUGUUGGGUUAAGUCCCGUAACGAGCGCAACCCUUGUCCUUAUUUGCCAGCGAGUAAUGUCGGGAACUCUAAGGAGACUGCCGGUGACAAACCGGAGGAAGGUGGGGACGACGUCAAGUCAUCAUGGCCCUUACGGGUAGGGCUACACACGUGCUACAAUGGCCGGUACAAAGGGCUGCGAGCUCGCGAGAGUCAGCGAAUCUCUUAAAGCCGGUCUCAGUCCGGAUCGGAGUCUGCAACUCGACUCCGUGAAGUCGGAAUCGCUAGUAAUCGUGAAUCAGAAUGUCACGGUGAAUACGUUCCCGGGCCUUGUACACACCGCCCGUCACACCAUGGGAGUGGACUGCACCAGAAGUGGUUAGCCUAAC
This 1234-nucleotide ribosomal RNA is filed under the name uncultured bacterium. Its description in RNAcentral is "bacterial SSU rRNA". It matches the Rfam family "Bacterial small subunit ribosomal RNA", at positions 213 to 1439 of the family's 1533-position model. The record is from RNAcentral.